This 245-nucleotide ribosomal RNA is filed under the name uncultured bacterium. Its description in RNAcentral is "partial 16S ribosomal RNA". It matches the Rfam family "Bacterial small subunit ribosomal RNA", at positions 524 to 766 of the family's 1533-position model. The record is from RNAcentral.
UACAGAGACCCCAAGCGUUACCCGGAUUUAUUGGGCGUAAAGGGUGUGUAGGUGGUGUGGUAAGUUUUAAUUUAAAGCUCAUCGGCUUAACCUUUGAGAUGAUUAAAAUACUGCCACGCUCAGAGGGCGUUAGAGGCAGACGGAACCGACCAAGUAGGGGUGAAAUCCGUUGAUAUGGUCGGGAACACCAAAAGCGAAGGCAGUCUGCUGGGGCGACCCUGACACUGAAACACGAAAGCGUGGGG